CCUACGGGAGGCAGCAGUGGGGAAUAUUGGACAAUGUGGGGAACCCUGAUCCAGCGACGCCGCGUGAGUGAAGAAGUAUUUCGGUAUGUAAAGCUCUAUCAGCAGGGAAGAAAGAAAUGACUGUACCUGACUAAGAAGCCCCGGCUAACUACGCGCCAGCAGCCGCGGAAAUACGGAGGGGGCAAGCGUUAUCCGGAUUUACUGGGUGUAAAGGGAGCGGAGACGGCGAUGCAAGUCUGAAGUGAAAGGCGGGGGCCCAACCCCCGGACUGCUUUGGAAACUGUAUGGCUGGAGUGCAGGAGAGGUAAGCGGAAUUCCUAGUGUAGCGGUGAAAUGCGUAGAUAUUAGGAGGAACACCAGUGGCGAAGGCGGCCUGCUGGGCCUUGACUGACGCUGAGGCUCGAAAGUGUGGGGAGCGAACAGGAUUAGAUACCCCUGUAGUC
Molecule: ribosomal RNA, 443 nt
Filed under: uncultured bacterium
Lineage: Bacteria
Description: partial 16S ribosomal RNA
Rfam family: Bacterial small subunit ribosomal RNA
Source: RNAcentral